Molecule: long non-coding RNA, 967 nt
Organism: Lemur catta (Ring-tailed lemur)
Lineage: Eukaryota; Metazoa; Chordata; Mammalia; Primates; Lemuridae
Exons: 4
Source: RefSeq, a predicted model, not a curated record
AUGGCUCGAACAGUGAAGCAGUACCUGUCCAAUCUGGAGCUAGAAAUGGAUGAGAAGAGUCUUCGGACAUUAUCACUACAGAGUGAGCCACCAACCAACACGUACUGUCAAGGUGAUGGACACCCCAAAAGGUUGAGGCCCACCAGGUCAGAAGAGCACGGAACUGGGUGUGCCUGCUGCCUUUGACCUCCCCUACCCCAGCCAACACUCAGCGGCAAAUUCAGACCUAACAAGUAUCAGUGCCUAAGAAUCCUGGUGACAAAAAGCCUGGCAAAUCCAAAACCUCCCCGGUGGCUCCCAGGGCAGGGUCAAAACAGAAAGUACAACCCCGGCAGCUGCGGCCACCACAGAAAGUCAACCAGGGGCUGCAGGUUCCUGCUGUGUCCCUUUACCCUUCUCAGAAGAAAGUCCCCGUAAAGGAUCUUCCACAUUUUGAAGAUGAACAAGUAUCUGCUGUUUAAGGCACAGGCGAGCCACCUACAAGGAGAGCACAAGAAGACGUCUCUAUCAUUGGAGCCUUGGAACUCACAUUCUGAGGAUGGUGGACCAGUUUGCCUCCUUCCCUGCCUUAAAAGCAGCAUUGGGGCUUCUUCCCUUCUUCCCUUCCCCUCUACAUGUGAAAAACUGUGACGAAGUUGCCCUGUGAAGAACUGUUGGAGCUAAUACAGCUGUUCAUACUGCUCUUUCCCUUUAUUGAAUUCGCGUUAGGGAAUAAACAAGCCUUUAAACAUGAUAAAAGAUCAAAAACCUAGUUACAUAUGCCAGCCUUUGCAAGGCAGGUUAGUCACCAAAGACUAACCGCCAAGUGGCUUUAUGGACGCUGACUAUAGAGAAGGCCUAAGUGUAGCAACCAUCUGCUCACAGCUGCUAUUAACCCUAUAUUGACUGAAAAUGACCCCUCCGCUCUAUUUUUGUGUUGUUUUUGCACAGACUCCGGAAAAGUGAAGGCUGCCAAUCUGAGUAGUAC